This 838-nucleotide long non-coding RNA is filed under the name Zostera marina. RNAcentral's name for it is "long non-coding RNA (ZMAR_LNC001422)". The record is from RNAcentral. Lineage: Eukaryota; Viridiplantae; Streptophyta; Magnoliopsida; Alismatales; Zosteraceae.
GUCAUUGAAGUACAACAUAAGAUGGUCCGAUCCUCUAUUAAUCAAUAAAUGAAUUCAUCUUAACUUUCCUUACUUGCUUAUUACGUGAAAUACUUCAAUUAUUUAAUGAUUCAAUUGUAUGGUAUAAAAUGUUUAGAUAUAUGGAGGUUGUAUGAAAUACUCUAUUUUAAAUGACGUGGUGGUUGUAGGUGUUUUUUCUAUGAUUUUGUCUGCAGGAAAUUUAUAUGUUGCAGAUCAUUGGAAUGCCUUUGAAUUAAGUAUGGAUUUUCAGAAAUCAUAUACUCAAAUUUAAGUUCAUUCUACAAUCAUAUAUUUCUACAAUAUAUUUUUUGAACUACAUACUAGUAAUCCAUGUGCAUGGUUUGUUUGUUUGUUUGUUUUUGCAGAUCACUAUCUUAUAGAAUACUAUAUCUCAAUGGAUUGUUAUCAUUUCCUUUUCUUUUGGUUUUGUUUUUUGAGGAGAAUAUUGGUGUAUUUGGUAUGAUGGGUAGGUUUUUCCCGGAGAAAAAUGGGAAAGACCACACACAUUCAAAAGAUGCCAAAAGAGCACACUCGGGCUUUUUCAUCUAUCCAUCAUCCUAUAUUCAUAACAAGAUGGGAGUAACAAGAUGAUUCUUUGUGACUACUUUAUAAGUUCGAGAAUUCUACACAAAUCAAGAUUCUGCACUCAAAGAUUUAGUUUCAGAAUGCUAGAUUUGAAGGGGAAUAUUAGAUAAAUAAUACAUAUAAGUAAUUAUAUGUUAUUAUAGGGAUAUAUUGUAAAACUAACCAAACUAAUAGGUUGGUUAAGAUAGAAUAAAUAUAAAUAUGUUAAGUAUCGUAUAAUUGAAAAUGGUUG